CAGCCGCCGCGGUAAUACGUAGGUGGCAAGCGUUGUCCGGAAUUAUUGGGCGUAAAGGGCUCGCAGGCGGUUUCUUAAGUCUGAUGUGAAAGCCCCCGGCUCAACCGGGGAGGGUCAUUGGAAACUGGGAAACUUGAGUGCAGAAGAGGAGAGUGGAAUUCCACGUGUAGCGGUGAAAUGCGUAGGGAUGUGGAGGAACACCAGUGGCGAAGGCGACUCUCUGGUCUGUAACUGACGCUGAGGAGCGAAAGCGUGGGGAGCGAACAGGAUUAGAUACCCGGGUAGUCCCUGUCUCUUAUAC
This 301-nucleotide ribosomal RNA is filed under the name uncultured bacterium. RNAcentral's name for it is "partial 16S ribosomal RNA". It matches the Rfam family "Bacterial small subunit ribosomal RNA", at positions 509 to 807 of the family's 1533-position model. The record is from RNAcentral.